RNAcentral lists this ribosomal RNA (253 nucleotides) under uncultured bacterium. RNAcentral's name for it is "partial 16S ribosomal RNA". It matches the Rfam family "Bacterial small subunit ribosomal RNA", at positions 524 to 776 of the family's 1533-position model. The record is from RNAcentral.
UACAGAGGUGGCAAGCGUUGUUCGGAAUGACUGGGCGUAAAGGGCGCGUAGGCGGCCUUCUAAGUCAGACGUGAAAUCCCCCGGCUUAACCUGGGAACUGCGUCUGAUACUGGGAGGCUAGAGUGCGGGAGAGGGAUGCGGAAUUCCAGGUGUAGCGGUGAAAUGCGUAGAUAUCUGGAGGAACACCGGUGGCGAAGGCGGCAUCCUGGACCGACACUGACGCUGAGGCGCGAAAGCUAGGGGAGCAAACGGG